UCUUGCCUACGGGAGGCAGCAGUGGGGGAUAUUGCACAAUGGGGGAAACCCUGAUGCAGCGACGCCGCGUGGGUGAAGAAGCGCCUCGGCGCGUAAAGCCCUGUCAGCAGGGAAGAAAAUGACGGUACCUGAAGAAGGAGCCCCGGCUAACUACGUGCCAGCAGCCGCGGUAAUACGUAGGGGGCAAGCGUUAUCCGGAUUUACUGGGUGUAAAGGGGGCGCAGACGGCGAUGCAAGCCAGGAGUGAAAGCCCGGGGCCCAACCCCGGGACUGCUCUUGGAACGGCAUGGCUGGAGGACAGGCGG
Molecule: ribosomal RNA, 305 nt
Filed under: uncultured bacterium
Lineage: Bacteria
Description: bacterial SSU rRNA
Rfam family: Bacterial small subunit ribosomal RNA
Source: RNAcentral